Long non-coding RNA from Oncorhynchus gorbuscha (pink salmon), 3490 nucleotides. RefSeq lists it as uncharacterized. The record is from RefSeq and is a predicted model, not a curated record. The transcript is spliced from 3 exons. NCBI's taxonomy places the organism in Eukaryota, Metazoa, Chordata, Actinopteri, Salmoniformes, Salmonidae.
CCUAGCCACCGUGCUUCUACACCUGCAUUGCUUGCUGUUUGGGGUUUUAGGCUGGGUUUCUGUACAGCACUUCGAGAUAUCAGCUGAUGUACUUCAGGAGGGCGUCCCUGUCCCUGCUGGGGAGUGAUUACAGGAGUGGCCAGAGUUGAGUUCCAACCUGUCAACUGGCACAGUGCACUACAUGGACAGGCCACUGGAGUAGCCAAGGACAUCCAGAGGAUCACUCUCCCCAGCACCAGUCGUCUGAGACCAUUCACCUUUGACACUCUGCUAGACCUGUUCUUCUACAACAGUCCUACCUACUGCCAGACCACAGUGGACACUGGGGCCUCAGAGGUUAACAAGCUCCACUUACUGUUCAAACACAGACACGCAGAGUUUACUGGAGCAGUGUCUGUGGUUGGACGCCUCAUGGGUUAUGGCGAAGGUGACCACAGAUGGUGUCUAGAUGCAUGGAAGAUAUAAUUAAUCCAAGAACAGUGUGAGCCUCACCCAACUCUAACUGGCUGAAGUAAUGACUACAACAGCUUUCACUAUGACCCUGUCCUUCCUGAGUCCGAGCCAGCAACUUGUGCACAGCGUCCAGUCGAAGCUAUCUACUGCCUUUUAUCUCAGGAGUGCGCAAUGGAUCCACGUGGAUUGAGCAUGGAGAGAGAUCCCGUCCAAACUUUUCAUGCUGCUGGUGUACUGGUUGGAAAAAGGACAAGACAUAAUGGACCGUGAAAGGAUAAUGGUGGCUCAGGUGAGAGAAAUCGGGACAUUAUCAAGGGCCAUCCACUUUGAACAUGAGCAUUGGACAAACUGAAAGACUAUCUGAAGAAGAAAUGGCAGAAGAAUGAGUGCCGGGAAGGAGGGGGGUGGUCAACCGUGCCUGUAAUUGAUUUAGGCUUGUGCAAAAUUGUUUAUUUGGGGUAUCAGGUUGAUCUGUCAUUAACAUGCCACUCGUGACAAAUGCUCCAGCUGAAAUGUCAUUGCCAGAAUCCAUUAAUGAAAUUGUGUAAUGAAGCAUAUGUUUAGCUGUAUGAAGCGAAGGUCUUAUGUUAAAACAUUCUACUGCAAUGGUUUUACAAGUAAGGGCUAUGGAAAGAGGAUCAGUUUCUUGUUGGAUUGUACAAUACAGAAUGAAGGGUUUGAAAGUCUUUGGUUUCAUGCAUUGAUUUAGUUUACUUAUGAUAAACAAUCAAAGAAGGUUCUAAGUAAUAACAAAAUUAAUACAAUUGAACCUUUUAACACGUACGUGAUCAUUCUAGUGGUCCCUGUAGUGUACGAUCAAACUAGUGUGAUUAGAACGCUUAUUUAGAAUGGUCUGUUGCGUCAUUCGAAACUAUCAGCAUUUGAGCUGGUCACAGUUUUCAGAAACAUUUUGCACAAACACAGUCCUUAAAGUGAUGUCCAGAAUGUGAGCAGUUUAUUUUUGGAUACAAUGUUCAGACAUUCACAGAAGUAUCUACAGCAUAACACAAUCAUUCAAACCGGGAAAAACUUAGGCUACAGUUGUCCGAGCACUAACUGAGGAAAGAUCGAGUAACAAAAAUAUGACCGCUUAUAUAACUCUCGGCUGACAAACUACAAUAUGAAUUAGCUAAUAGAAAUGAAUCACAUCACAGGUGAGCUCACCAUUGUGCGAAAGAGAGUUAAACUCUAGUGUUAAACUCGAAAGUAAGCUGACGAUGGGUAGUUUCUGUUCGCUGCCAUGCUUCCCCCCUCACAGAAACCAAAGCUAAGAAGAGUUUGGUCUGUUUAUAGUAUGCAUGAAUGGGGGUGCGUCUACCAUAGUUCACAUCCCACCAUUCAUUUCCAGAAGUUCUCAAAAAUGAGUGAACCCUUAUGCACCUCACUAGGUUAUAACAUCUUUGGUCUGACAGAAUAAUGUGCAACCCAGAAUGCAUUGUAUGUCAACAAACAUGGCUCCACACAAACAGCUGGAAAUAGUUUAGUUCAUCAUAAUCAGUACAACCUUCAAAAAAACAGUAUUUACACACAUGUGCCCAUUACAGUCUAUGCAAGAAUUGGAAUGCAUGAUUUGUCACCGGAAAUGGAAAACAUGUUAAUAAAACAGUAACUAAUUACCACAAAACAUUUUCUGAUAGUGACUUAUUGAUACAAGUUGCACAUCCCCCCCAGUCAAUCACAUAACCUCUCACUCAAUGUUAUUUAUGUACGUAGCUAGUGAGCUAAGCUGUAGCAUUAUCAAUGUAUUUCAAAAGGAGACACCUCACAAAUUCUGGAGAUUCUCUUAAAAUUCUGACAAUGAGUCUGAGUAUGAAAGUCAGGAAUCAGAUUCUGACAGUGAGGAGCUGCCCCCCCAACCUUGUAGCCAUUGAGAACCCUGAAUCUGAGGACUUCUUGUCCACGUCCCAGGUCCCUUUGAAGAUUCUGGUGGAGGCAGACCGACAGUGGAUGAAGUACAGGGGUUCUGUGGUAGCUGGAAGGCCGCCAGCCAUUUCACCCCUCCUGGCCCUGCAGUUUACUUUGAUGAGUCUCAGUUUGGAGUGCAAUGCUCCUUUCCAUUUGAUAAAGAGUGCUUCAAGUAGUUUCUGACAGAGGGGCUGGUGGGAGACAUCGUAGAAGAGACCAAUCACUAUGCCUUGGAACUACAGGAGAAGACUGCCAGGAGUGACAACCACAAUUAGUGAAAUGUAUACCUUCCUGGUGACAGUCCUUCUCAUGGGGAUAGUAAACAAGAACUCCCUAAGAGAAUACUGGAGCACAGAUCCUAUGUUUGCAACUCCCUUCUUUGCCACCCUCUUUUCCCAAGACCGCUUCCUAGUUCAGCGGCGAUGCCUACAUUUCAUCAACAAUGCUACUGCGAUCCUAAAUGACCCUGUGACACAAAAUAAAUGUUCAUACCAGCCUGACAUCAGCAUUUGGUCAGGUCUUUGUGCCAUACAAGGACCUAUGCAUUGAUGAGUACCUGAUGUUAGGGAAAGGUAAGCUGGCGUUCCGUCAAUUCCCUCCAAAAGACACCAGGUUUGGGGUCAUGUGCGAUAUGAAGACAGGAUUUGUCCAGGACAUUUUAGUUUACACCGGGUCCACCACUGACAGCCAACAUUAUGAGGGGCUUGGGGUGUCCGGGUCCGUGGUGAUGACCGUGCUGGCUCCUCAUCUCAGCAAGGGACACACUUUGUAUAUGGACAAUUGUUACAUCAGUCCCACACUCUUCCAGCAUCUGCUCUCCAACAGCACAGCGGCCUGUGGCACAGUCAGGUCGAACAGGAAGGAUAUGCGGGGAGGUGGAGUUCAAGGAGAAUGGUCAACAGCUGACAGUAGAGUGGCAUGACAAACGAGACGUCCAUGUCCUCUCCACUGUCCAUACAGCAACCAUGUUGUCCACAGGGAAGGUGCUCCACCUGACGGGAGAGAGAAAUUAAACCAGACUGUGUGCUUGACUAUUGUUAGGGAAUAAUCAGAAUUUGUUGGUAACAUAUGUAAGAGGUUUUAUAUUCAUCAAAUGUGUGUAAGUUACUUCUCAUCAGAAUGGUAUUUUUGU